UGUUGGAAAAGUUCAGGUUGAUGUAUAUUUACAGGAUAGCCACCAUGGACUGUAUCAGACAUGAACUGUGUUUUGAAUCUUUGAAGACAGUUAUGAUCAAGAAUGUAUCUCAUUCUGCAGCAAAAUUUAACAAGUGAAAUAUUUUAUCAAUCUGACAAAGGGAAGAAUCGAUAUUGUUUCAUUAUAUCAUUAUUUUAAGCAGUUUCUCAACACUAUGAAGACACAGAUUCCCAACCAGAUUCUCAUGCACUGACCGAAACUGCAGUAUUUUGCAAAGCUGAGAGCACAGGAGAACUUUACAUUCAUACAGAGAACUGUAUUUCCAAGAGUAAAGAACGAAAGGAAUCAUGGCAGUGUUUCCCUGACUACUGGGGUUAGUAAGAUGUAUUAAAAACCAGCAUCCAGACUGACAAUAUUUGGAUCAAGAGCAUCUGACAACAUCCCUUUAGCCCUCAUAACACCUUUGUGAGUUUGCUGCACCCUUCAUGGGAAGAGGCUCACUCCUAAAACAUCAGUAAUACAGAAGGAACAAUACAACAGACAGACAGAUGGAAGUUCAUGCAGUUGCUACCAAAAAUCCGUUACCAUUCUGGUGAUAAACAAAACAAUCAGAAUGAAGAAGAAUGGCCAUUGCAUUCCAA
This is a long non-coding RNA of Tyto alba (common barn owl), 641 nucleotides long. RefSeq lists it as uncharacterized. The transcript has 3 exons. The record is from RefSeq and is a predicted model, not a curated record. Lineage: Eukaryota; Metazoa; Chordata; Aves; Strigiformes; Tytonidae.